CUGGGCCGGCGGGACUUUGACGCUGGCGGCACUUUGCCUUUCUCCCGCCCUCCCCACCCGGCUGAUACCCCGGAGGCUGGGUCCCGGGGGUCCGGCUCCCGACAGAGGGCUGCGCUGGAGGAGCCGGGCACGCCCAGGCCGGGCGGCCGGUGGGCGAGGGAUGCGGGCUGCGCUCCCACGGCGCGCGCCGGACACUUGGGGAGCGGAAACGGAUCAGCGAGAGCGGCUUCUUGCUCGGGGCACCUCCGGUGCCUGGCACUAAGCGGGCGCGCAAUAAAUAUUUGUUGAAUGAAUGAGCAGUUGACUUCUGCCUUCACCCCCUGGAGCUUGAACCCGCGCCGCGAGCGGGAGAAGCCGGACUCAGGGCAGACUGAAUCUCCCGGGGCCACCGCUUAGAGCCUGGAAAGCAGAACUUUUAUCACCGGAGAGCUGGUGCAAGGGAGGUGGGCUCCUCAGAAGUAUCAGACCGUUUGCUAGGGGAUCCUCUGCAGGGAAAUUGUUUAGAAAGCCCUAAUUUGGAAGUCCUGUAUCCCCAAACUCCGGGGACCCCCCAACCUUAAGCUGAAGAAACUUAGACCCUCAUGCCCAGACCUCCCUUUCCCAACCAGCCAGCAGCCCAGAGAGCAUUCCCGUGGAGAAAGGGCCAAGGCGCAUCCCCGUCUUUUCUCCGUCAACGACUGCCUUUUCUUGACGAAGAUCCCAAAGGGGCUGCGCAUUUGAACCGCCUUGGGCUCCAGGUGGCGCCCUCUCUGGAGCUCCCCUCUUGGAAUUCAUUUCUUCCUGGAGAGACUUGGAGAAUGAAGAUCCAGGGGUUUCUCCCUACCUUGUACCGAGAAGUAACAUUGCAAGUAGAGUAAAUGACCAGCUUAAUUACGUUCACCUUCGAAGAAGAUUCCUCUAGAGAGAAAUUAUAUCCUCCUUGCAGCCUGUGAAGGUUUUCAUGCGUUUUAGGAAUAUAAAAGAAAGGAAGACAAACAUGUAGUAAAGAUAGUAAAGACAGGACCCACUUCUUCACGCCUUCCUCAGCAACUUCUCCAUGUGGCCCCUUAGGAGCUAAAGCGCUCUGCACUGGAUUAUAUGACUUGCCUGUUGUGGACUCAGGGCUUCUCAAAGUUACAUGAAUUCUCCGUGCUUAGGGAAAUUGGAUGACCUCUGUUCUCUGACCAAAGAUAAAAGAAGAUUAUUCUGUGAUCCUAUACGAGUCAGUGGCUAAUGGAACUACCAAAAAAAUGAUAACAAUGCAAAUAAUGUAAUUGGUUCUAAGCAGUGCUUUGCAGGCUCCUAAGGAUGGUUCUAAGUAAGCCAGGAGUAGGUGAUACAUUGUAAUUCUGGGACCCAUGAGCUUAGCAGGACAAAGGAAACCAUGAAUCACCCUAGUCCCAGAAGUACCUUUUCAUAGGCCCCAGGGAUUCCAACAUCAUUAUUCACUCUCCACUCUGCAAGUGACUUAGGUCGUGAGCAUCUCUGAGUCUGCACAGGCUCUGCCAUGUGGCUGUGGGGGUCCGGCUUCUCUGAUGGAUGGGAAGAUAAUGCUCGGGGCUCCAAUGCUAUUAUCUCCUCAUCUCUGUCACAAGGAGAUUUAUACUUAUGAUUUACCCUUUUCAUGAACAUGGGAAAAUUCUUUUUUCUAGUGUUGUUUCUGGAAUGUUCUUUGCUGUGUCUAAAUGAGCUGAUUCCACUGUUGGGAGAGGUGGAUGAUGUGAGCAGUAAGAAGGCAUUAGUUUCUUGAAAACUAGAUCCAUAUUUAGGUGAGAUGAAAUCAAACUACCUGAUUUUAAAAAAAACAAACUAUGUUUAUUUACCGUAUGUCUUGAUUCCUAUAUACAUUGAAAAAUUAUAUUCAUAAAACUGUUUAAAAUAAGAGAUGAUGGGCUGGACGCAGUGGCUCAUGCCUGUAAUCUCAGCACUUUGGGAGGCCAAGGCGGGCAGAUCACUUGGGCCCAGGAGUUCGAGACCAGGCUGGGCAACACGGCAAAACCCUGUUUCUACAAAAAAUGCAAAAAUUACCAGGGUGUGGUGGUGUGUGUCUGUAGUAUCAGCUACUCAGGAAGCUGAGGUAGGAGGAUUCCUUGAGCCCAGGAGGUGGAGGUUACAGUGAGCUGAUGUGGCACCAUUGCAUUCCAGCCUAGGUGACAGGGGGACCCUGUUCCCCCUGCCAAAAAAAAAAAAAAAAAAAAAAAAGAACAAAAAGAGAGAUGAUGAAAACUUAGAAGAAAUGUGGAAAAUGUAUAAUGUAGGCAUAAAUGAAAAUAAUUAGAUUGUCUAUGCCGCAAAAUGAUUGUAGCUAUAGAAAGUCAUAGAUUUACAGGGAAAAUGACCAUAGAAGAACAUGAAUAAAUGACAAAUUUUAUUCAACCUUCUUCAAAACAAAAUAAAGAAAAAUACUUGAUUGCUGAAGUCUCUGGGCUAUGUAGCAAGAGUAGGAAGUUAUUUGCCUAAAUCUGAUCAUUUUUUGUGACAAGAGUGAAGUUUCACUCUUCAGUUCCUUGGGCACACGGACACUAUGACUAUCUUGUUUAGACGACUGUCAUAUUCAGCAGAUUUUUCUUCCUGUUUGUGGUCAGUUAAGAAAACAAGCAUUUAAUCCAGAACUUGUAUUUAAUACCAGAACGAUUUUAUUUUUUCACAGCCACCAACUGUAAAGUAACAAUAAUAACUGCGUAUGAAGUAAUGAGUACUGGCUCCAAAUCACCUUGUUUAAUCCCCAUACAACCUAAUGAGGUAAAUAUAACUCUCCGGUCAUUCCCACCUCACAAAUGUGGCUUAGGAGGUGUCCAGAAAUUACCUACAUAAUUAAUUAGUGGCAAAAUAAAAUCCAGACCCAGACAGCCUGACUCCAGGGUCCAUGCUCUAAAGCAGAGGUCUGCAAGCUUUUGCUAUAAAGGCCCCACUAUGGAUAGUUCCCAGGCUUUGCAGGCCAUAUGGCCUUGUUGCAACCACUCAACUCUGCAGUUGUAGCAGGGAAGCCUCUAUGAGCAAUACAUACAAUGAAUUGAGUGUGGUUGUGUCCCAGUAAAACUUCAUUAGUUGUGUUAGAUCAAGUUUAGACUAAACCUGCCUCCUUACAUAUUUUAAGUUCAGCCUAAAGGUUUCUCUGUACAUAGCGAACUAUAAUCUCAAUGGAAGUGUAAACAGACCAAAACCUAUUCUUGUGCCAAUCACUGAGUUUUGGCCAAUCAGAGGAGGCAAACUGUUAAAACUGUCUUCAAAUAAGGUAAACGCCCAGCUGCUGAGCUGUAACCAAUCCGCCUGUUUCUGUACCCCAUUUCCGUUUUCUGUACCUCAUUUCUGUUUUCUGUACAUCACUUUCCUUCUUCUGUUAUAAAUCGUCUUCCACCACGUGGCUGCACUGGAGUUGCUGAGCCUACCCCGGCUCAGGAGGCUGCCUGAUUCUCAAGUCGUUCUUUGCUCAAUUAAAGUAUGUUAAAUUUAAUUUGGCUAUGGUCUUUCUUU
RNAcentral lists this long non-coding RNA (3453 nucleotides) under Homo sapiens (human). RNAcentral's name for it is "non-protein coding lnc-NEFL-1:4". The record is from RNAcentral. Lineage: Eukaryota; Metazoa; Chordata; Mammalia; Primates; Hominidae.